CCCGGGUCUUGUACACACCGUCCGUCACACCAUGGGAGCGGGAUGUACCAGAAGUAGGUAGGCUAACCGCAAGGGGGCCGCUUACCACGGUGCGUUUCGUGACUGGGGUG
This 110-nucleotide ribosomal RNA is filed under the name uncultured bacterium. RNAcentral describes it as "partial 16S ribosomal RNA". It matches the Rfam family "Bacterial small subunit ribosomal RNA", at positions 1373 to 1482 of the family's 1533-position model. The record is from RNAcentral.